RNAcentral lists this ribosomal RNA (478 nucleotides) under uncultured anaerobic ammonium-oxidizing bacterium. Its description in RNAcentral is "bacterial SSU rRNA". It matches the Rfam family "Bacterial small subunit ribosomal RNA", at positions 365 to 833 of the family's 1533-position model. The record is from RNAcentral.
UUCGCAAUGCCCGAAAGGGUGACGAAGCGACGCCGCGUGGGUGAGGAAGGCCUUCGGGUUGUAAAGCCCUGUCAGGAGUUAUGAAAUGUAAGUGCGCUAAUAUCGUGCUUAUUUGACAAAGGCUCCAAAGGAAGCCACGGCUAACUCUGUGCCAGCAGCCGCGGUAAUACAGAGGUGGCGAGCGUUGUUCGGAAUUAUUGGGCGUAAAGAGCACGUAGGUGGGUUUGCAAGUCAGAUGUGAAAGCCUUCUGUUCAACGGAAGAAUUGCAUCUGAUACUGCUAAUCUUGAGUAUGGGAGGGGAGAAUGGAACUUCUGGUGGAGCGGUGAAAUGCGUAGAUAUCAGAAGGAACGCCGGCGGCGAAAGCGAUUCUCUGGCCUAUUACUGACACUCAGUGUGCGAAAGCUAGGGGAGCAAACGGGAUUAGAUACCCCGGUAGUCCUAGCCGUAAACGAUGGGCACUAAGUAGAGGGGUUUUA